This 455-nucleotide ribosomal RNA is filed under the name uncultured bacterium. RNAcentral describes it as "bacterial SSU rRNA". It matches the Rfam family "Bacterial small subunit ribosomal RNA", at positions 340 to 786 of the family's 1533-position model. The record is from RNAcentral.
UACGGAAGGCAGCAGUGGGGAAUAUUGCACAAUGGGCGCAAGCCUGAUGCAGCCAUGCCGCGUGUAUGAAGAAGGCCUUCGGGUUGUAAAGUACUUUCAGUCGUGAGGAAGGUGUUAAGGUUAAUAACCUUAGCAAUUGACGUUAGCGACAGAAGAAGUACCGGCUAACUCCGUGCCAGCAGCCGCGGUAAUACGGAGGGUGCGAGCGUUAAUCGGAAUUACUGGGCGUAAAGGGCACGCAGGCGGUUAAUUAAGUUGGAUGUGAAAUCCCCGGGCUUAACCUGGGAAUGGCAUUCAAGACUGGUUAGCUAGAGUCUUGUAGAGGGGGGUAGAAUUCCAUGUGUAGCGGUGAAAUGCGUAGAGAUGUGGAGGAAUACCGGUGGCGAAGGCGGCCCCUGGGACAAAGACUGACGCUCAUGUGCGAAAGCGUGGGGAGCAAACAGGGAUUAGAUACC